GUGGUGGCGGCAGCAGUAGUCUCCUCUCAGCGUCUCGUCCCUUCCAAAAACUCUAGCUUCUACCUGUCUCCUAGACGUUCGUCUGAUCCUCUAUCUGCACAGGGGCAACCAGCUGGGAUUAUGGUUUUUGGGGAGAAACGGGACGGGGAAGGAGAUAUGGUGUGCCGCCAUCGCCACUCGCCACGGCCCAUUUUCCCCUCGGAAGAGAGCUCUCUGGAUACUCGGAUGGAUUUCUAGGGGCUCGUGGCUCAGGAAGAACAAGAGCAAGGAAGGAGAUGAUGCGCACAUGAGGAAGCUACAAGCCGCACAAGCCCCUUUUUCUUCCUUGUCCUUCUAUCAGCCUUAAUCAAUGGGAUUUAUUUGUGUAUUUCUCCACAUGUGUUUUUUCUUAUGAAUUUUCUAGAAUAUGCUGGUGCCUGUACCCAAGGACUUACUUCAGAUUGUACAGUUGAAGACGGUGGUCGUGCAGUGGAGGACCUGUUUCAGCAAGAAAGAUUUAUCAUGUAUGAAAGCCAAGACCAGAAUAUGAAUAUUUUGCUUGCAUCCCUUAGCUGUGUGCAAAGCCGUAAAUGCCAGCUACAAGUCAAUGUGGUCUGCUAUUCAUGUAUGGAUUAACUCUUUUCCGAGGCAAAAUGCUGACUUGGUCAUGGUUAUAUCACAAACAAAUAUGACUGCUUGUAACCGUAUGUUACAUCUAAUUAUUCACUAAUCAUUGUUGAAGUUACCUUUGGGGAUAGGAUGAUGUGAUGAGAAUUCUUCAGAUACUUUUGCUCAAAAUGGCUGGACAUUUUGUGGUGUGGCAUUUGGAUAGCAAAGGUCUGCAGUCCGUUAAACAAGUCUACAAGCUUCAGGUUUAGUUGGACAAUCAAUUCCAUGGGAUGGAUGUGGGAAGUAGCUCAAUCAAUCCGGGAAACAUUGGAAGCUGUAGUGACAACUUCUGCUGCCGCAUUUGAGUUUUGUCUUGUCCUUCCAAAAUCAAGGUGUUUGCUCAGGGAGUAGACAACAAUUCUCUGGCUCUGCAUGUAAACCUGAAAGUAAGAGGGAAUAGUCAUGGAGGAUAUGAAGUGACUUGUUUGUGGAUGGGAAGAUGAAGAUGGGAAUCAACUUUUUUAUCUAAUGCAAAUUGAUUAAAGCAAUAUGACGUGGCCUCUGUUUGGAUUGAUGUAGAUCUGUGCUGGCAAAGAUGCAAUCGAUUAGGGCUACUGUGAACUAAUUUGGAAAUUUUCAGAACUGAAUCUUUUUCAGAUCCUUGCUGGUGGUACAUGUGGAAUAACAGAAACAAAAUUCAAGGGGAUGAUCGAUGCACCACUGCCAGCGCAUGAAGUGGUGCAUAAAACGGUGCUAUACAAUCGGAGUACCUAGAAAUUUUCAAGAAGGAAAAAAGGCAAGGAGAAGAAUGAUGAGGGGUAAGUGAAAGCCUCGGCUGAAGGAUAUUGACAUUUUGACAUAAAUGGCUCUUAAAUUCAUAGGGGUGCCUUGGCCAGUUGGGGUGUUAUCACCACAGAUAAGGGGAGGUCGUAGCUCCUCUACCGGGAAUGAAAGAUCACGUCCAUGAUGCCAUCUGAGCAGAACUGUGUGUGAAGUUGUUGGGUUGGCUACUCAACUUGGCGGGAUCAAAGUCUGUUUGGAAAUAGAUUUGCAUCUCAAUGCCAUGGAAUCGCUGACUCCUCCACAUAUGCGAGUAUAUUGGAAGAUGUUAAGGUGCAGCUCAAAACUUGGUUCUCUAGGUGAGAUAUCAACCAAUGCAGAAGAGAAGGAAACAUUCAUGACGUCAGGUAAGUUUGUAGAUUGUUUUCUCUUAAUGACUUUCUAUCGUGGGAGUUUCAUAUACCGGCGGAGGUUGCCACUUGUAAGGGACGAAAU
Long non-coding RNA from Lolium rigidum, 1863 nucleotides. RefSeq lists it as uncharacterized. The record is from RefSeq and is a predicted model, not a curated record. The transcript has 3 exons. Lineage: Eukaryota; Viridiplantae; Streptophyta; Magnoliopsida; Poales; Poaceae.